GACGAACGCUGGCGGCGUGCUUAACACAUGCACGUCGAACGGAAAGGCCCUGCUUUUGUGGGGUGCUCGAGUGGCGAACGGGUGAGUAACACGUGAGUAACCUGCCCUUGACUUUGGGAUAACUUCAGGAAACUGGGGCUAAUACCGGAUAGGAGCUCCUGCUGCAUGGUGGGGGUUGGAAAGUUUCGGCGGUUGGGGAUGGACUCGCGGCUUAUCAGCUUGUUGGUGGGGUAGUGGCUUACCAAGGCUUUGACGGGUAGCCGGCCUGAGAGGGUGACCGGCCACAUUGGGACUGAGAUACGGCCCAGACUCCUACGGGAGGCAGCAGUGGGGAAUAUUGCACAAUGGGCGGAAGCCUGAUGCAGCAACGCCGCGUGCGGGAUGACGGCCUUCGGGUUGUAAACCGCUUUCGCCUGUGACGAAGCGUGAGUGACGGUAAUGGGUAAAGAAGCACCGGCUAACUACGUGCCAGCAGCCGCGGUGAUACGUAGGGUGCGAGCGUUGUCCGGAUUUAUUGGGCGUAAAGGGCUCGUAGGUGGUUGAUCGCGUCGGAAGUGUAAUCUUGGGGCUUAACCCUGAGCGUGCUUUCGAUACGGGUUGACUUGAGGAAGGUAGGGGAGAAUGGAAUUCCUGGUGGAGCGGUGGAAUGCGCAGAUAUCAGGAGGAACACCAGUGGCGAAGGCGGUUCUCUGGGCCUUUCCUGACGCUGAGGAGCGAGAGCGUGGGGAGCGAACAGGCUUAGAUACCCUGGUAGUCCACGCUGUAAACGGUGGGUACUAGGUGUGGGGUCCAUUCCACGGGUUCCGUGCCGUAGCUAACGCUUUAAGUACCCCGCCUGGGGAGUACGGCCGCAAGGCUAAAACUCAAAGGAAUUGACGGGGCCCCGCACAAGCGGCGGAGCAUGCGGAUUAAUUCGAUGCAACGCGUAGAACCUUACCUGGGUUUGACAUGGAUCGGGAGCGCUCAGAGAUGGGUGUGCCUCUUUUGGGGUCGGUUCACAGGUGGUGCAUGGCUGUCGUCAGCUCGUGUCGUGAGAUGUUGGGUUAAGUCCCGCAACGAGCGCAACCCUUGUUCACUGUUGCCAGCACGUUAUGGUGGGGACUCAGUGGAGACCGCCGGGGUCAACUCGGAGGAAGGUGGGGAUGACGUCAAGUCAUCAUGCCCCUUAUGUCCAGGGCUUCACGCAUGCUACAAUGGCUGGUACAGAGAGUGGCGAGCCUGUGAGGGUGAGCGAAUCUCGGAAAGCCGGUCUCAGUUCGGAUUGGGGUCUGCAACUCGACCUCAUGAAGUCGGAGUCGUUAGUAAUCGCAGAUCAGCAACGCUGCGGUGAAUACGUUCCCGGGGCU
RNAcentral lists this ribosomal RNA (1346 nucleotides) under uncultured bacterium. RNAcentral describes it as "bacterial SSU rRNA". It matches the Rfam family "Bacterial small subunit ribosomal RNA", at positions 28 to 1381 of the family's 1533-position model. The record is from RNAcentral.